This 59-nucleotide microRNA precursor is filed under the name Nautilus pompilius. Its description in RNAcentral is "Npo-Mir-317_pre stem-loop". The record is from RNAcentral. Lineage: Eukaryota; Metazoa; Mollusca; Cephalopoda; Nautilida; Nautilidae.
AGGGUACCAUGAUGUGUUCCCAGUGUGAUGACGUGUGAACACAGCUGGUGGUAUCUGGU